Molecule: ribosomal RNA, 505 nt
Filed under: uncultured bacterium
Lineage: Bacteria
Description: partial 16S ribosomal RNA
Rfam family: Bacterial small subunit ribosomal RNA
Source: RNAcentral
GACGAACGCUGGCGGCGUGCCUAAUACAUGCAAGUCGAACGCACAGUUUAUACCGUCUCUUGCUCCACCAUAGACUGUGAGUUGCGAACGGGUGAGUAACGCGUAGGUAACCUGCCUGGCAGCGGGGGAUAACUAUUAGAAACGAUAGCUAAUACCGCAUAAUAUUAAUUAUUGCAUGAUAAUUAAUUUAAAGGUUCAAUUUCACCCCUACCAGCUGGACCUGCGUUGUAUUAGCUAGUAGGUGAGGUAACGGCUCACCUAGGCGACGAUACAUAGCCGACCUGAGAGGGUGGACGGGCACACUGGGAAUUGGACACGGCCCAGACUUCUACGGGAGGCAGCAGUAGGGAAUUUUCGGAAAUGGAGGAAAGGCUGAACGAGCAAAGCCGGGGGGGUGAAGAAGGUUCUUGGAUCGGAAAGCUAUGUUGUAAGGGAAGAACGGGGGGGAGAGUGGAAAGUUCACACUGUGACGGUAUCUUACCAGAAAGGGACGGCUAACUACGUG